CGUAAAGAUUCCAGGAGACUAAACGAAACAACUCUCUCUCAUCUCCUCGUUUUCUGGAGCACUGCCGCAUCGCCGCCGCAAUUCCUCCUUUGCCUCCGCCCUUGGAUAACCACCGAACGGAGUUGCAACAAACACUUCCAAGCACUCUCUUAAGUUAAACUCGCAACCCAUUCCCUGAUUAUAUGGGUGAAGAAAGGUAAUCGAAAGCAUGAGGAUUCGUCAAUAUCAGCUUGCUUCUCUACACCAAUCGGUUGCUCAUUCGCCUUUAAAUACCAAGCCUUUUUGUUAUCCCAUCACUCAAGUUCAUAGACUGCCAUGGAACCCCCAUAACCUAAAACUCAAUAAGUUCAACCACCGGUUAACACGCUAUAAUACUAGAUGCAGAAACCAUGAUACCUUGAAUGUUUCAAUCACUUCAGUCCACACCGAUGACAGUAGUAGUAGCUUCAAAGGUCACCUUAAAGCUCAAGAAGAAGCUCAGGACAAGAGCUUCUGGGGUGCCGUUGGUCUGAUCAUUGGCACCGCUGUUGGGCCUGGAAUGCUCGGUUUGCCUGCUGCAAUGCUAAGAUCCGGUCCUCUUCCAUCAACGGUUACCAUUCUCCUCUCAUGGGUCUAUGUUAUAUCCUCUAUCAUACUUGUAGCAGAGCUCAGCUUCGCGGCUAUGGAAGAAGACAAUGUCUCUGAGGUGAGCUUCACGGGGCUUGCAACAAAAGCAUUGGGAAGUCAUGUUGGCGCUUUGGUCGCUCUGGUCUAUGCCUCACUGAGUUUUUCUUUGUUGGUGGCAUGCGUUUCGGGCAUUGGUACUAUUAUUUCUCAGUGGUUUCCAUUGAUAAAUCCCAUAAUAGCCAAUGCCUUGUUUCCAUUGGUUGUUGGAAUCAUACUCUGCUUCUUUCCUUUUAAAGUGAUUGAUGCCACCAACAGGUUUCUAUGUUUUGUCAUGCUUGUCUCCAUAUCUGCACUUGUGGCAGUUGGAUUAUUAGUGGGACGAACGAACAUACUGGCUUCCUUCAGCCAUGCCUCAUGGGAUCUUUCUUCAGUGUUACCUGCCAUACCCGUUACUGUACUCACAUUGGGGUUCCAUGUAAUCACCCCUUUCAUUUGUAAGAUUGCUGGGAAUUCCAUAAACGAGGCCCGGAGAGCCAUACUGUUUGGUGGGGUUGUUCCAUUAGUCAUGGUUUUGUUGUGGAAUCUCAUAGUUUUGGGGCUUGCUGGCACCAACAAAGCCCCAUCGUCAAGAGAUCCUAUCUCACUCCUGUUAUCUGUUAAUCCAUCUGCUUUAUCAGCUGUUCAAGGUUUUGCAUUUUCGGCUUUGGCAACUAGUUUAAUAGGGUAUGCUGUUAGUUUCCCAAAACAAGUAUUUGAUACCCUGGAGUUGAUUCUCGGAAAACCCAACUCAACACAACGAGAUCCAUCUCCAAUACGUUCUAUUGACGAUGAAGGUGGAAAAGUUGGGUUUGCCACUUAUUCAGGUGGUCAUGAUAGAAGCAAUAUGGGCAAGGUUUCCCAUAAUCGGUCAAGAAGUGCUUUUCCGGAAUCUAAAUCUGUACUUGCUUUUGGCUCCUUACAGUACAUUAUGGUGCCACUUGUACUCGGCCUUCCAGUUCUCAUAGCGUCUUUCUUCCGCUCAACAUUUUCCAGAGCUCUUGAUUUUGCUGGAAUAUAUGCAAAUUGCUUUCUAUUCGGCAUCCUUCCUCCGAUAAUGGUGUAUAUUUAUCAAUCCAGGAAACAAAUUAGGUAUGUCAACAGAUCAUCCAUUCUACCUGGGGGAAAAGGUGCACUUGUACUUCUGUUUAGCAUUGCAGUCAUAUUAAGUAUUUGGCAUUAGACGGGUAGCAGCACCAUCCAACGAUAAGACUAUUCUUUUGGCGGCAUAAGCAAAUACCACUGAAGAAAAGAAGAGAUCUCACUGUGUCAAACCGCCGGUGUAAGUUUGAUGAACGUUCCCUUGCGCGAUUGUUAUUGUGACUCGUGCUUGUACAUGGAGAGUCUUCUUUUGCAAUUUCGUCCCACUUGGUGAUCGGGAUGCGUCGCGGGGGGGGGGGGGGGGGGGGGGGGCGGUGUGGGGAUGGGACCGGGGGACUUAUGCAAGGAUACAGACGAAAUACCAUGUGAAACUUGUUAACAAUAUGGAAAUGGUAAGCCCAUGUUUUCCAGUCCUUGCUAAUUAAGGUCCAGAAGCUCCAAUUUUUUCAAACUUUGGAGGGACCUAUGAGAGGAAGUUUCUGGUUUUGGAUAUUGUGUCGGUCAUACAGAAAGUCCCCGUAUUUCCCGAUAAUGCAUAACAGUCCACAUUUAAGGGCAUAUUCUCACCCGUACACGUGUACAAGGGUACGAAAUGAGGUCUAGCUUGUGUGCCCCUCGCCUAGCUCUCCAGUGGCCCAGGGGAAUUAGGUCAAGGUUAGUACCAACAAAAUGUCGCUUCAUGUCAAUGUCAUCGAAACCGUGUUACAUGGACCCUGGAAGCAUAAAUCCAUGUUGAAAUUUGUUACAUAGAUAAUCAAUGACAAAAAACCAGAAGCUUCCUGUGUAUUAAUAUGACAGGUUCUCUGAAUUUGAUGGCAUGAUCUUUUCAGUAAAGUUCGACUUUAUGGGUC
Molecule: RNA transcript, 2594 nt
Organism: Rhododendron vialii
Lineage: Eukaryota; Viridiplantae; Streptophyta; Magnoliopsida; Ericales; Ericaceae
Exons: 4
Source: RefSeq, a predicted model, not a curated record